This is a long non-coding RNA of Mya arenaria, 4827 nucleotides long. RefSeq lists it as uncharacterized. Lineage: Eukaryota; Metazoa; Mollusca; Bivalvia; Myida; Myidae. The record is from RefSeq and is a predicted model, not a curated record. The transcript has 4 exons.
CGACCCCUAUGUCAACAAAUAGGUCAGGUGUCGGACAUAUGCUAUAGAAAUACUUUUAUGGCCACAUAAUUUUAAAGGUAAUUAAAUCCUCAACAUAUAUGUAUUAAAAAUUAUACAUUUAUAUCAACUUCGAUUUUACAAUAAGCAAAGGAAGUCUUAGUACACCGAUAGAUGAAACACACAGGCUACAGAAGAGAAACUGAAAGUAGACAAUUCCGAUGAAAUGACUUUUAUUUAUUUAUAAGGGUGGUGAUGCUUUUUUUAAUUUUUUGAUGAAUGCCAAAAGAAGAUAUGUUUAUGAACUUAAACAAUAAAUUAUGCAUUUGCUUUUUAUUAGAAGCAAACAAAUCUGACUUUGGGAAUUGAAAUGAAAAAUAUUGGUAAUUCAUUCCAUUAUCUCUACUCAGUAUUAGUCUGAAAGUCAUCAUUUAUGAUCAUAGGCAGCAGAUUUUGAAUCCAAUUUUAGAGGAAGGUAAGCCCAUUAAAUUGUCUCUGAAAGAUAAUUAUUGUUCUGUGAAGUAUUCUAUUUUUUAAAGUGUCCUUUUAUUAUGCAAUAUGGCUGUUUCUCAUAAAAAUAGAGAUGAAGUGCUGGAAAAAGGGGUAAACAAGGUGAAUUGGCACGUGUGUCAUGCCCGUAAUGCUACAUGGCGAUGAUGAAAAUCCCUUGGUAUGUGACCCAAAUCCCCUUAAAUUCUGGACAUGAUCCCCUCGGGAGCCUUCCAAAAUUAUGGCAAUUUGUUUUUUUUCGUACUUGCGUCUUAAAAUACUUUGAAAUUUUGCCAAAGUAGAUCUGCUAAAAAAUCCCCCUGAAUACUACCAAAAUCCCCCUGAAUUUUCAGACUUUUGAACAAAUCCCCCUGAAUGGUCUCCAGAAAAUAAUGCAUGUAUGAUUUUGACAUUUAAUUUUUGUUAAGAUUGUCUGCCCCUGACUAAAUGCUUAAUUUCUUGGUCUUUGGACUGUUGUUUGCAUCUUCAAAACCUGACAUUAGGGAAUAGGACAUAUUUUUCUUAUAUUUUAGCCAGUUUAACUGCAAUUUACGUUGUAUUUAUCAAUAAUUCAGGUAAAAAAUGACAUCAUUUCCAUUUAUGACCUGAUAGAUAUUUGCUAAUUUGCUUUAUGUCAUGCAUAUGUUCAUUGGAGAGUGUCAUGGACAACUGAAACUUUUCAGGACACAAUAUGCAAAUUAAGAAUAUAUUGUGUGGGCCGGCUUUGUGAACAAAACCACAAGAUGGCUAUGGUAAGUUGUACCAAGAUAUCCUUGGGAUUGAUUGAUUAAUUGAUUAAGGGGGUUGUGUAAGUGAUUAAGUGUGAGGCCAUAACUCGAAGACUGUUGGGCUGUAAAGGUGUGUGAGUGUGUUCAUGCACUUUCACAUUUUCCGUCUCAGUCAGCAUACAGGCCCGUCUUCAGACAUUCUGCCAUGAAUGUGGGGGUAUUUAAAGUCAUUUCUUACUUCCUGUGUUGAUUUAUUGGUGUUUGAUUAAAUUUACACUCCCAUGUUACUGAGUAACUCUUUGAAUCUGGGCCUCAAUCAUAAAGCUAGAGCUUGGCAUAUUCUUAUACAAAUUUCUGCGAGAUUUCCUCCCUUAAAAAAUAUGCCCAUCUCAAGUCUACACUUUGUUAAUUUUUUAACAGCUUUCUGAUACUUUUUGUUAAUUUGAGAUCUUUAUGAGGCCACUUUCAAGUAACAAGAUUCUCAGGGUAUGCACUGGGUGACAAAGGCUGCCCAGUAAAAUGUUUUUCUUUUUUCUGGAGAGAUAUUUCUAGUGAAUUGCCCAGUUGCAGUGGUGUUGACGCCACAGAACCAGCAUUUUCAGAUAUACUGUCUUGUGUAUCGGGCAGAAAUGCAGAGUGGUACUACCAGUCACCUAAGCCACCAUUCCCCUCACAGACAAAAGGCUCAUGGGAUAGGUCCCUGCAGUUUACAGCAAAGCUUUCAAUUGUAGCCCUACAAACUUCAGAUAAGCAAUAAAUUUGGGCUUUAAGAUAUCUAUGCUCUUCAGUAUAAGUUCAUACUUAGUUUGAGCGAAACUCACAAUUUCAGCAUCAAAAUCCAGGUUAAGAUCCCAAUCUGAGCCUUGUCACCUUCAAUAUACUUAGGUUAAGAUGUUCUUUAAGCUACAAACGUGUUCACUACCAUUGACAGAUAAGAAUUUUCACAAUUUGAUCAUGGAUGCGUUAUCCCAGAUUUACAACCUCUUCUUGCAGAUUCUGCCGAGGGCGUAGCUCUGGUGCACUGGGCCAAUUUUCCAGCCGUGUGGAAUCUACAUCUCCAGCUGAACUGGGAUCGGGACUAAUAUCAGACUCCCUAGCAGCAUGUUGGAGAUGGGGAUGAUGACAGACCAGCCAGCCGAACUUAAAUUGGAGUAGACAUCAUGUGCCACCUGGUUGCUGAAGCUCGAGAGGACCUAGUCUAGGAUAGUUCUGUCUGGAAUUCCAUACCACCUCCAGAGAAUGGAAAAUGUCUUCAAAUUCUGAUGUGCCAGCCGCCUGAAGUGGUCAAACAAUUUGAAACUGGAUGCAGCACAGAAUCCCAUAUUUCAAGAGAAUGCAGAUGUUAGUCACCCCUGUCAAACUUGUUUGUGUGUAAAUAAUACAAAAUGUGACAUUUACAGCAAAUAUGUAAUAAUUGAGCAACAUAUAGACAAUUGCAAAACUCUGUUCUGUUAAUUUAUGUGCCAUAUUUAGCAUUUAAAACCAGAUACUUUUAGUUUUUGCUGGUUUGUUCGGUUUCUUUUUUUCAUGAUUUUUUCAAGAAGAAAUCAGUUCGGUGUAUAGUAGUUAUGGUGUUUUAACUGUCAAUGAAUCCAAGAUCACUGUAUGUUGUUGAACUGAUAUACAUGUAUAUGUUAAACAUUGAAGAUCCAGCUGUCAGUACAGAAAACAUUGAUUGUGCUUUUGAGAACACCGAAUUUUAUCAACAUAAUUUGACACUACAUAUUGCAAGCAUUUUUUUCAGAUAAAUCUAUAUAAAUUAAUAGUAGAUAACUGUAGCCUUAAUUUGUGCAUAUUAACAUAAGUGAAUAGUUUAAUAGCCCCAUGAUGUCAUUCUGUAUAAAUUAUAUAAUAUAAUCAUUUUAAUUGUUUCAAUUGUUUUCAUAUAUAAAUGGUUUUAGAACUGAAAUUUGGUCUUGCUCUAUUGGCUCAGGUACACUCAACAAAUAUAACAAAUAUAUGAAAUAGUGCUUAGUGAGUUCAGCUGACAGUUUUUCACUGGGUUCUUAUUUGGGUGUGUUCCAACAAUAUCACUGACUUGAUUACUUUCAUUGUAUAUUUUAUAUAGGUGCUAAAUUUAGAAUAUAUUUUCAGCUCUGUUGAAUGUUGAUUGUAAUUGCAAUUUAUCAUUUCUUUUAGAUCACCCUGUGGGUUAAACAUUAUGUGAGGGUUAGAAGUCAUUUGUUUGUAAUUACACCUUGAUAAGUUUAAACUUUAAUAUACUGGGUCUUGAAAGUCCCAUGAUAUGAGCAAUUGGUUUUGACUAUAUUCAUGCAUCAUUUAGAAUAAACCUCAUAAGAGGUCAUAACAUAUUGGGCCUUUAAAAGUUAGAAAAUUUUAACAUUAAUUUAUUCAUACAAUUUUAUUUCCCAUCAGAUGUAAAAAACAACAAUCUUUUUAUCAAAAAGCAAGACCAAUAGGUCACUGUUGGUGAUCUGUAAAAAAUACAUGUGUUGCUGCAUAUUUAACUGUCACGGGUCUUUUGGUUUAUACCUGAUUUUAGCAAAGCUGUUUACAAUAUUCAUUAAUUGAAAUUUAAAUAAUUUUGAUCAUUGGACAUGAUGUUUAAUAUAUGACGAAUAUGUUUGUCAGAUUUGUCAUUGGAAACACAAAUUAUUUUAAAGUGUAUUGAAAGCAUCAUUUUGAUAAUUCUGUAAUUAAAGCAGAAUUGUGUUUGCCCUUAAAAUCUAAACGACACAAACAAUUUUUUGUUCAUAAUUAACAUUUUGCAACUUUUUUGGCAGGGAUGGAGUGUACGUUUUUGUAACAAACAAAUAAGAAUAUAUUCUGUAUUCUCACUGAGAUAUUUUGCAGACAAUUUGCCGGAGCUGCUUUGCUACAUACUGUUCAUAUACAAUCAUAAUUAUUAGUAAUUGAUUAAAUGUUUUGCCAUGUUUUACCAUCAUAUUUAAAUAAAUUUUUGCCCAUUCAAUUCUAGUUAAAAUUAUAAUUACCCCUGCUUGUAUUGAUAUGUGAUCAUUUUUAGCUUGACUAUUCGAAGAAUAAGGAGAGCUAUCCUAGUCACCCGAGUGUCAGCAUCUGAGCAUUACCACUUAUGUUAAAGUUUGCGUACCACCUCAAAUAUUUUCAAAGUCCAUUGACAUACUGUUUUGAAACUUGUUCACCAUCAUGCCCCCAACCUGUACACAGAAGGAGGUCACUGUAUCGAACAUUUUGACAGAAUUAUGGCCCUUUUUUACUUAGAAUUUACAUGUAAGUUUGCGUACCUCCUCAAAUAUUUUUAAAGUCCAUUGACAUCUGGCUUUGAAACUUUGUUCACCAUCAUGCCCCCAACCUGUACACAGGUGGAGGUAACUCUGAUUAAAUUAUGCCCCUUUUUCAACUUGCAAUUUAUGUUAAAGUUUGCUUACCACCUCAAAUAUUUUCCAAUUCAAUUUAUGUAAAUAUCUCAGCACAUCAUGUAUUGCAUUGAAAUCUAAUCUAACAGUGAUCCAUGCAUGUUUCGCCAAAACUUUUCAGUCCAUACACCGAAAAGCUGCAGAAUAGUCGAGCGCGCUGUCUCUGUGAAAGCUCUUGUUUUUAUUUAUUUUCUGUUUGUAACAUAUUCCUCAAAUGCGUUUGUGUACUUGAUCUCAAAUGCAUAGUAGCUUUA